This 156-nucleotide unclassified non-coding RNA is filed under the name uncultured fungus. RNAcentral's name for it is "sequence contains ITS1". Lineage: Eukaryota; Fungi. The record is from RNAcentral.
CCAGGAGUUUCACAACUCUCCACCCUCGUGCGUACGUAGUAAACAGCCUUGGUUGCUUCGGCGGCGCGCUGGCCUCCUGCGCCGGCCGCCGCCGGGGGGACUCACCAAAAAACCCUUGCGAAACCGGAAGCGUCUGAGUAUACAAAACAACAAGUU